Molecule: long non-coding RNA, 2954 nt
Filed under: Mytilus galloprovincialis (Mediterranean mussel)
Lineage: Eukaryota; Metazoa; Mollusca; Bivalvia; Mytilida; Mytilidae
Source: RNAcentral
CACAGUUACGGUUGCAUAAGCUUCAUGUAAGUAUUUUUUAGUUCAUGUACUGUCCAUAAUGAAAUAGGAUGCAAGUAACAUAGCAUGUCUGUUUUCAAGAAGCAGCCUAGCGUUUCUCGCAAAAUGUGCAACGUAACCUACAAAUUUAUCCUCAUAUUAGGAUUAAAGGUACAUACACAUUUACAAACAAUAUCUUCAAACUGGAAAGUUUAAUGUGUAUAGUUUAAAGGUUAACAUGUUAACUUAUAUUUUUAGUUAAAAUCAAUCGGGUCCAGGACCAAUCCAGUAUAUCUUAUCAUAAUCCUUCGUUUUUAUUUCAAUUUUCUAUGUGCAUACAUUUAGAGUAAUUAAGAACUGUUAAACUCAGUGCAUGAUAAAUAUUUCGGGUAAUGGAAACAUUCUUCUGCAUUUAUUUCCAUAUUUUUCCAGAAAUUCACAAUUGCAUGUUUGUAGUAUAAUUAUUGUGUGUGUACUAAAAAAGGUGUUUCGGUUAUGGUCAUGUAGACCUAGGCUUAUCCUCGUCAGUUAUCCCUAGCCUAUGUGUUUCCUCCUUUGUAAUAUGUAGAAUAGUUCCAAUUCGAUUCCUCUUAUGGGGAUACGACACCUGUUUGUACAAUCGUUUUUAGGGUCUUUAACUUUACUGAUGCAUCUAGUAAAGUGGAACUUAAGUCCGAAUAAUUAUUCAAUACGUUAUAUAUUUGUUGAGUUUUCGUGACCUUUUGCUCGAUAAAUAUCCUGCAUGGUUAUAAAUUUUACCGAGAAUCAAUACAUUCGCUUCUUGUUCUCUGUUGAGUUUCCCACUGUUAAAAUUUUCAAAUCGUGUUUCUUCCUAGACGCAAAGUUGAUUACAGCAUAUAAGAUGCAGCGUUUCAGAAUUAUAGGGUAUUAGUACUGAUCACAUUCAAACUUGAUGUCCUUUUUUCAAUAAAUUUAAGAUUUUUAGAGUUUCAAGAGUCAAACAUUUACAUGAACGAUGGUUAUCCUUCCGGAGCACCAUUUAUUAACUAAAAAUUUUGUGGGGUUCGUGUUGCUCCGGAAUGGAUUUCUAUGUCGUGUUUUAGGUACAUGCUGUUUUUCUAUCUUUUGGUUGUUUAUCAUUAUUGCCAAGGGAUUGUUUUUAUCAUAUGACUUUAAAACAUUACCUUCUAAAAUAUCUUCAGUAUCUCUUUUGUCUCUUUCGUGACAAUUUACAAACACAUUACUAGUGAAAGGAAAAUGUAUGUGACAGAACAAAAAUGUUGUAUUAUGAUGAUGUUAUAAGCAGAAGUCACUUAAAAGUACUCGUCGACUUUAUUUAAAAGUUAUGUUAACAUAGCUGCAACAUUUCUAGUACACCAUGAUUGUCAAUAAAAUCGUGUAUAAUAAGAACACGUACAAUGUAAUAACUUUAUUUACUGUGAACUCUAGACAAAUUGUUUUCGAAAACAUUUGUUUUGUGAAGAUUAUAAUUAGUCUAUGUUGUUAUAGGAUUGAGAUAAAAAAAAAAAUGGUUUCAAAAAGUUUGAGACGGGGAAAAGGCAAAUCUGUUAAACAAAACAAUAUACAUCUGAGCAUACACAAUUGUCAAAAAGAAUGCAAUAAACUUAUAAACUGUCGUUUAUACUUGACAUAUAUAUAUAUUUGAUAAACUAAACCUCUGUAUCUGAAUAAAUGUGUCUUUGCACGACAUUUUUGUUCUUUUUUUCAGUUUCUGGAAAAUAAUAAAAUAGAAAAAUGAAGAUUUCCGUUUGGUUAAUUGUCUCUCUGUUGUUGGUCUUUUCUGAAGGUAAGAUAAUUACAAGAUGAAAUCAACUAACCGAUUCGUGUAAGUUCUAUUUCAUUUUGGAAUAAUUUGCACAAACAGUAACCCAAUGAAAAAGUUUUUAAAACUGAGGUUGGUGACCUGCAUGAUUUCACUAAUUUAAGUACAGUUAAUCUAUUGUCAAAUGGAUUGGUUGAGUUAGGUUAAUGUGUGUAAUACAAUUGUUUGCAUGAAUCGCAAUAUUAUAGCAGCGAUUUUGGUGUUGGUAGGGGGAGUCCAUGUUCAAAUGAUAUUAUCAUUAAAAAUGCAAUAUUAGUUGUGCAACAACCAACAAUUAUUUAUUAAAAUAUUUGAUUCUAAUAUUUCCAGUCAACAUGGCUAAUGAAGAAAUGCAAGAUGGCAAUAGAUUUCUUGAGAAGUAAGUUUAACAAAUAAAUAAUUUAAUUUGGUUAAAUGGUUAAUUGGUUUUAGAUUCUAGGUAGAAAAAAAAGUAUUAUUGUAGAUAAUGUCAAAUAGUAUGCAUACACUUAAUAUUCGAUGUUUAAAUGGAUAGGGUUUACUUAGCUUGCAGACACUUUAAACUGAUUUACACAAAAAGGAAUAUGUAGCAUAAUACGUUCCUUAAUUAUUGGUUCUAGGUAUAUUGCUCCUUGCAGAGAAACCAAUGGCUAAAUAAACAUGUCAAACAAUACUUUUAACAUCUAACUACCACACAUCAUAACCAAAACUGAAGUUAUUCACAAACUAAAAUCUGUCUUCCUUAAUUUUUAUACAUAUAGCGCCAUCAUAGUGCAUAGUUUAUUGUAGUCAACGUAUUUUUUUUUUAAAUUCAAGUACCGUUUUAAGGGCAAUAAUUUCAUAUGUAAUGCAUGUAAAGUAGUCUAUUCUAUUUGCAAAGGUUAAACUGAAUUUUGAAAUAUAUAUAGAAAGAUCAAUUAAAACCGUGUAUGAUAAUAAACGUUUCCAACAAACAUAAUUCCACAAAUGACCUGUUGUAGGCUUGUCAAAAGAAGUGUUGGUGUUGGUGUUCAUCGAGGGUGUAAGGGUAGACCAUGCAGUUUUUCCAAUUCGUGCUGCCACAAACACAGAUGUUCUAAUGGAUAUUGCGACAUAAUACACGGCAAGUGAGUCCCGGGUCCAUUACUUACAAGUAAUACAAAAAACUGAAGCAGCAGACUCACGACAUUAAUGUUACUUUAAAUGUAAGACUUAC